GGAAUUGCUAGUAAUGGCAGGUCAGCAUACUGCCGUGAAUACGUUCCCGGGCCUUGUACACACCGCCCGUCACACCAUGAGAGUUGGGAAUACCCGAAGCCUGUGAGCUAACUGUAAGGAGGCAGCAGUCGAAGGUAGAAUCAAUGAUUGGGGUGAAGUCGUAACAAGGUAAC
This 173-nucleotide ribosomal RNA is filed under the name uncultured bacterium. RNAcentral's name for it is "partial 16S ribosomal RNA". It matches the Rfam family "Bacterial small subunit ribosomal RNA", at positions 1328 to 1500 of the family's 1533-position model. The record is from RNAcentral.